ACCCAAUCACCCGUGUCUCGCCCCACUCCCACCCCAGCGGCCCAGCCGCCAAACAAACCCUAGCCCUCUUUCUCCUUCCCCUCGAUCCCCAUGAGCCGCCGUACCCCUCCCUCGAUCCCCAGUUCCCCACGAUCCUCUCCUAGCCCGCAGCCGCCGGUCUUGUCUCUCCACUCUACCAUGUCGUCGUCGAUCCCACCGCCGGCCUUCUCCUCUUGCUUCCUCCGGUCCUCUUCCAUGUCGCCGCCGAUCCAGAGCGGCGGCGGGGUCUCCGCUGUGCGGGUGGGGAUGUAGGGGAGGGGUGGGAUGCGGACGGCGGCGAGGAAGGCAAGCAACAGCGGGGAUGAGCAGGUGAGCGAUCCUAGCGUGGGGAAGGGGCAGGGUGGUGCCUCACGCACCUGCCGGCGGCCGGCGGGAGCUUGAGCUCGAGACGAUGGAGGUGCUAAGGCGGGGCAAGAGAGGACGGCUCGCCGACGAGCUCGAGUUGGAGGCGGUGAGAUCUUUUCCUUCAUGGCUUCCCACCCGCUGAGCUCGUUUGUCCUCCUCCCUCCCCCGUGCUGCCGGCCUCGUCCUUCGUCCCUCGACCGUGCUGUGACAUUGCUUCCUCAAUUGGUCGCCGCCUCGUCUCGCCUGAACACGAUGCCGUCCGGGGCAGCGCCGGCACCGAGGCACCACCUCUGCCUCCACCCCCACUGGGCAAAGAGCUCGCGGUGUUUGGGGGUUUCUGGUCCCUGAUGUCAUGUUGUAAUUGGUGCAUCCGCUGGAUGAGAAAGAGCAUAGGAUCCAGGAAAGCAACUGCAGGAGACGGAGAAGACGUCCCCAUGGCUUCUAUGAGGACCAGAAGCGUUUCUUUCAGCAGCCUGGGGUUGUUAAGAAGAGGGUCGGGAUUGCCCUGGGCAGAUGCUUAAAUUCCUGGAUGUAAACGCACACUUGCCUCCUACACAGGCCAAAAUACUAUUGGAGAUAAGGAUACUUGUUUUGCAUAUUUGCAUCUCGAAGAAGCUUGCCCGCUAUUGUAAGUCUGACAUUUUCUUGCUUGCUUGUGGAAAAACUGGUUCUCAUUCAGUUAUGCUUGUCAGUCUGAUAGAAGAUGGACACCCCUCUUUAAGUUGGUUUAUGGGCUUGCGGAGUGUGAGAAACCCUUGGUAUGCCUCCAUCCUUCGUCCCUUGCUCCGUGGCCUGGAUGUCGAGGGAGGGCGAGAGGUGGUGAUAUGCAGGGGUGAGGGAGAUGGAGGCGGUGACCUGCAGCUCCUAUUGAAGGGGCGGAGAAGAGGGGGUGCGGAGAUGAGAGGCUAUUGUUGUUUAUUCCUUCAUGCAGUAUUUCUGAGUUGGUUCACUCUGAAAAAAGGCUUUCCAUCAGUGGUCCGCAGCUGGGCCUGAAAGAAAUUCAUGACUGGAUGGCAAUGGAACACUAAAUAACCUGGCAACGGAUACCCUGUGGUCUACCAUUAUAAUUAUGUGUGCAUUUUGGAUCUAUUGGAUGUCUGAAUGUAAUGCUAAUCGACAUUUACUGAUGCAAAGAUUUUGCAGGGAUGUAGAUAUAUAUGGUGAUGUUUCACUACGAUCUAAGUGUUUCAGUUCAUAUUUAGCAGGAUCACAUUUUGACCAAUGACUCUUUGCUGCCAUGGUUGAUACCGCUCGGCGGCUGGAUCUACCAUGGAGUGGCUACCAUGGGCCAACUAGAGCUGGGUGUCCCUGUUUCCGACCUCAAGGCGGCAAAAAGUUAUGUUGUGACUUAAAGAUAUGAUUUAUGGGCCUACCUCAAUAUCUUAGGAGUUGUCCUUUCCUUGUUAACCCUGUACACUUGACAAGGCCCAUCAGUUCGAGGUAGAGAUAAUGAAAGAACAUAAGGACUGAGCAAGAGGAGGAACUUCGUCGACCCAGCCGUGAGCAAAUGAUGCUCUGACGAGUCGAUCAGGACCGUCAUGGAGAUCUGCCCGCGGGGCCUCGCCAAGGAACCAACGCUGAGGCAGUUAGACGAGGACGUCCUCUGGAACCUGCAGUUUGCAGCCCUGGUGUAGGAUGAGUUCCCGCUCUCAUCAUCGCAGAUCAGUGCACAAUCCGCAGAGUACUAACCUCUAGGAAGGCUGAGAAAAAUAUUGGCAAGCAUUACCAUUAUGAUCCUCCCUUGAUCAUCAUUGUUGAAGGAAAACGUAUUAGAGAUGGUAUUUUCAAGCUAAAUGUACCAGCAGCCGAUGAUGGACCUUGUGAUGCAUAUAGUUUGCAUAUUUCUCUUCAUCCAGUUUAUUCAUCCAUUUUUUUCUGUUUGCUCAUUUCUUCUAGCGUAUUCCUGUCAGUAUUUUUCAGUUGAAGGAUAGAUGCUCUAAUUACCAAACGAAUGUGCAGGCAAUGCCCAUUUGAUUAGUUAUAUCCAUGUAGUCUAUGUUUGAUAGCAUAGUAUUGUAAAAACCAAAGAAUUUUAAAACUACAGUAUUUGCUCCUAUAGGUACAGGAUACCACGGUAAUAAUAUACCAGAGUAUUUAGGAGUAUUGGGAAUAAUGCAAACCUGUUACACUAGAGCUUAUAUGUAAAGUAAAUUAACAACUGGCCAUUUGUUAACAGUCGCACACAUGUUUGUACCCCGUUCGCUGGCCGUUGCGAACUGAACAACUAUGCACAAGAGCAAGCCCCAGCCGCAUGCACAAACUUGAAUGUCUAUAUGCACUAAACGGCCAUACACAAAGCUAGCUUAUACAACAAGAGGAGUUGAACUAGGUUGAGUUGCUGCUUCACAUGGUCUGGAACGCUAGGCCAUGUUCUGGAUGUCAUCGCAGGCACCACGGGAGCGUCUUGGCCUUCUUUUGUGUCUCCAUCGAGAGGUAGCAGGAAAUGUGCGUCGAGAGGCACUUGAAUACGCAUGUGGAUUGUUUUCAGCAUGGUAGUCUCAAAAAGGUGGUAUUCUCAAAAUACAUAGAAAAUGCUUUGCUAUCGAAUAGGGCUAUAAAUGCAGAUUUCCUUGAAGAUAGUAUAUUUUAUAACUGUAUUGCCAACGUGCUCCCAUAGUUUUAUCACCACAAAAUAGUUCUAACUGCUCAUUUAAUUUUCAGUGGCAUGCAUGGGUGGUUGUAGUGCAGUUUUAUUAAUCUGCAUGCAUUUUCAGUGUUGAUAUACUAUCUCAAUAAAUAAUGAAGACGUAUAAUAUAUGCAAGCUACAUUCAAUUAGUUUUUGAUACUAUUCCCUUGAUAGUUUGUUACAUUUGAGGAGUUAGGGUACAAACGCCUGAAUAAACUGAGGAGCACUGUGAAACAAUUGCAAUUCGGGUAGCAAAUACACUUGAUGCGUUGUUCCCUUUUUUGAAUUGCUCAUAUGUUUACAACCACUUUGUUACUAAAAUAUCGAUUUGAAAUCUGGAAGCAUUAUUUCCGGAUGUGUUUGUCCUUUUCUUCUUACGUAUAUCUCUUGUGCUGUUAAUCUAAAUUACAACUUCGGUGCUACAUAUUGUAUAGGCAGAGAGGGAUUUAAUGGUUAACAGCUCUUUGUGCCCCGGAUUACUUUGUACUGGUUCAAGGGCUAUCUUGUGUCACUGGAUGUGCUAUUAAAGAGGAUUUUAAUUUGGUUUUCCAACCAAUGUGUCUGGGUAAGAUGAAUUGGUAAUAUUCAGCUAGCUGGAGACGGAACUACCGCUGCAAUCACUACUGGAGACGGAACUACCGCUGUCACAUGCCGCUUUAUCAAGGGUGUUGACAAAAGGGUCACCAUCGCUAGAGGCUGGAGUGGCUUCUUCCGUCAGGCACACAUUAAGAAAGGUCAAGCAUAUGCUUUCGCCUUCAAAUGCACUUUCAAGGGGCUGUGCCUGAUCGUCUACUCAAUAUAAACAAGUAGCAAGAGCCCCUUGUUAUAUAACUUAGCAUUAGUAUAGAUGCCUAACAAGACUUAUAUGUUUAUCAUCCUUUUGAAUCUUAUCUAAUCACCUAAGACCAUCAUGUGUGUUUAAGUCUCA
Triticum dicoccoides is the source of this 3939-nucleotide RNA transcript. RefSeq lists it as uncharacterized. Lineage: Eukaryota; Viridiplantae; Streptophyta; Magnoliopsida; Poales; Poaceae. The transcript has 12 exons. The record is from RefSeq and is a predicted model, not a curated record.